RNAcentral lists this long non-coding RNA (640 nucleotides) under Homo sapiens (human). RNAcentral describes it as "non-protein coding ZNF793-AS1:10". The record is from RNAcentral. Lineage: Eukaryota; Metazoa; Chordata; Mammalia; Primates; Hominidae.
GAAAGAAUGAGUGCAAGCAGUUUAUUUGGGCCACUCCAGAGGUGUUAAAGCUCCAGCACUUCGAGCCUGCCUCGUGGGAAAGUCUUAGGCUGAGUCUGUAGGUGUCUGCAGUUAAGAAGCCAGCGGUCUGCAUAUGAUUGCUCAGGGGUGGUGGCUGGGUCCAACAGCAUUCACUACAGGCCUGCCUUGAAUACCACCUAGCGCAGUGCUCCGCAUAUCACAGGGGCUGGAAACCUAACAAUUUCACUUCCUAGACAACUUGCUAAAAGUCACCUAAAGACAGUCUGGUUACUGCCAAAGAUAUGCUUUCAAAUAAGAUUUGGAUAAAGAAGGGAGGUAGAUGCCUUUUUUCAGCAGUGGAGUGAUGUCUAGACCAGUAGAUGUACGCAUCUAAGUGAAUUCAUCACCAGCAACAAUUUCCAGAAACUUCCUGACCUCCAGAUUGCAGCUUCAUUAGUGUGAGUUUAAAGCCAACUAGAUGCCAUUCUCAGAUUCCACGCAUAUGGCCAAGGGUCCAGGAAAUAAGAAGAAACAGGUUGAGGGGUUGGUGUUAUGGGGCAUUUACUUGAAUUUUCUAUGCUAUAAUUGUCUCAUCUUUAAAACGGUGAUAAUAAUAAAAUUGUCAGUUAUUAAAUAAAUU